Molecule: long non-coding RNA, 6499 nt
Filed under: Homo sapiens (human)
Lineage: Eukaryota; Metazoa; Chordata; Mammalia; Primates; Hominidae
Description: HSALNT0293221
Source: RNAcentral
AUUCUCUUGAAACUCGCAGCUGUCCGGUGUAGCCGAGGAAUGCCACCGCUCCUGGCAGCCUGGGAGCUGACUUAUCUAGCAGUUCGCGCUCCCUUUCCGAAAAGUUUUCUCAUUAAGAUAAAGAAGGAACAUCUGAGCAACACAAAAGCUUAUGAUUUGCGACUAGAUUUGAAAUCAAGGCUACAAGAAAGACAAAACAUCGUUGUGGAGACCGCUCUUCCGAAUGGAAAGUCAGAGUCGUGCAGAACAUUGGCGCCAUCAGGUCGUGUAUAGAGCAGGAUUUCGUUGAAAGUGGAAUUAAACAUAAAGAUUGCAUAAUUUGAUGUCUAAUCAUCAGCAAGUGGAACAAAACCUGGAUUGAAUAGACGGUGACUCGAUCUCCGUACAGACUGAGGUCCAAAGGUCUGCGCUCACUUCUGGAACUUUCCUUUUGGGCCUUGACCGAACUCCUGUUAUUGUGUGCAGUAGCAGAGGCUGCGCUGCGUGGUUCAGUUUGUGCAAAGGCUAUUUAUUGUUUCUCAUUUACUGACCACUCGGGAGAAGCCUUUAGCAAUAGUUUUUCCCGACACAAACUUGAAUAAAGUCGACCCCUGCAGUUCUUCCUGAGGCUCUACAAGCUUCCUGGAUGCAGGAACCAUGUGCUGUUCUGACGACGCUCCGAAACCUAGUUCAGUGCCUGGCACUAGACAAUAAAAAAUUGCUUUCUGAAUGAAAGUAUAUGCUGGCAGGCGCAGGGGGUUUCAUGUCUUUCUCUGCCUUCUUAAUUCUAGCGCUCCUACGUCUUUGCAUAGGUACCUUCUUGCUCAGUUCCUGCAUCUUUCAAGCCCUUGAAGAGCUAGGUAAGAAAGGGCAUGAAAAUUCUGACAUAAUAAUUAGCAAGUGGCUUGUUAUUUGUCAAACGCCCCACUGAUGUUGUGGCAUAUACAACCUCACUUCUUUAAUUUGCCCAAAGUCAUAUUUUACCAAGCCAGGUCAGAAUUCAAACCCAGACAUCCGACACGGAGGGCUGACUUUUAAUUACUUUGCUAUUUUGUCUUAUAACAGAGGCUUAUAAGCUUAUAACCUCCAAGGGAUCCUCAGGCAUUAUGCUUCAUUUGAGUUCUUCCCUCCUGCGAGUCCUUCAGACCUCAGCGUUUGCAAUUAAAUUGGGAAACCUACUCUGAGUGCCUAAGAGACCAACUGAGUCAGAGCCUCUGUUUAUACAGGAGGCUCUGGGGGCGGGGAGGGGCGGCCAGUAGGAAUGUGUUGGAUAGGAGAAGCCAAGCCUGGGGCAAGCCCCCAUAGACAGACUCUGGACGCGCACUUGGAAAUGCUGUGUGUGAUGGCCAGACAUUGAUGUAGGUUUUGGCUUGCUUCAGGGUAAAAAGAGGACCCAAGAUGGACAGUCAGAAUGGGAGCUGAGGUCAUUUGGAGCCAGGCGCUGCUGCACGCCAUCCUCUCUGGCCUAGAAAGGAGAUACACCUUCGUUUACAGUCCACAAAGAGGAGGAAGAACACGGAGGAGACGCGAGGGCAGUAGAUGGAGUCUUCAUUCUUGAGUACGACAGGUCCCACUCUACAGCGGAUCACAGUAGUGUGCCCUGGGUGCCUUGGUGGCUGGGCCUAGUCUCUCCCCAGUCACAGUCCAUCCAAGCAGAAACAGGCCCUUGUCUAGGAAUUGGCUGGGAUUCCAAAGUCCUGAAAAAGGGCUGGAAGAGACCAUGCAAACUGGAAUGGUUUUACCAGCGCUUGCGAUAUUGAAAUUACUCAGCGCUAAGGGAGAAACCACUAGGUUUCUUAAGACUUGGUGUGUCUUCUUGGCAGACACACCAAGAAGAUUUGCGAACUCAGCUAUAGCUGCUGUAGGCUUAGAAACACGGCAAAAAUUGUUUCAGAAGUGAUUAAUCCCAUUUAUUUCCCUCAAAUACCACCCCCCUUCCUCAGAAGGGCCUCCGACAGGUGUUUAUUAUUAUUACUAUUAAUUUUAAAUGGAGUCUUUAGGUUGUUCCAACUUUCAGUAAUAACACCCUGAUGUGGCUAAGCUCUUUACAGUUUGCAUCAUUAUUGUUUUUGCAUCUCAAAGUUUUGGGAAGAAAUAAAUAGGCGGCAGUUUCUUUUGAAGCUUUUAAUACAUACGAUGCCUUUUUAAGGUUUCUUUCCCCUCCUCUCCUUCAGAAUACUUCUGCCCUGCUUCGGUAGUUUCGGGGUAUUGUGUGUGGGGAGGAACCUCUUGCAUUUAAAAAAAAAAAACCUGGAUUAAUACAUGUAAAUCUGUCUUUUAGAGGUCAGGAUACAGAAAAAAAGCAGGCAGUAAACUAAGCCAGAAUUCCUGCUUCUUUAAACCACCCUUCCUCCCAGGCUGAGACAACUUUUUUCCUAAAAAGACUGUAUUUCUAGAGAUGAAUUUGCAUCCUUUUAUAAGAAGUAACAUGUAUUGUUUAGCUUUGCCCGGCUUUUACAUAUGUUGUCAUAUGUAUUCCUCACAAUCUUCUGUGAAGUAGGUAUUAUUAUGCCUGACUCACAGAUGGGGAACCUGAAGCUCAGAGAGGUGUCCCACAUUCUCACGACAAAUUAGAGACAGAGGCUGAACCUAAACUCAUUACAAGGUCUUAACCAUUGUGCUGCAUGUAAAGAAUAUUUUGCGCCCUUGCAGGUUGGCUGUGUGGCUCCUCCCAGUCUCCUGAAGUAUUAUAAUAGAAGUGAGAAUUCUCUUAGAAGACCUUGAGGAUGGCGGGACUGGGGGCGGGGUAGGAGCGGCGAGUCUUGAGGGACCUGAGUACUGCGCCGGGUCAGUUAGGUGGAAAUGGAGUCAGGCGGAAAUGGAGUUAGGCACGUGUGGAGCCUGGGCCUGGGAUGGGGGCGGGGGUACCGGGGGGUGGUUGGAUGGUCUCCAGGAUGGCAAUCAGCCAGGGGAGCGAGAUGGAUCGCGUGAUGGGCGAACACUUUCUCAUCGCCUGCUGGUCAUAAAUAUUGUUGCUUUUCCUUGGUAACACCCCAACGCCCGAGGCGAGGCGGAGGCCCGCAGGGCGCCACCAUUGGGAGUUGAGGCCCUUUCUCUCUCCCGGAGGCCUGGGCUGGCGCCUGCCUUCGAAAGCGACCUCGAGAGAAACGCCCUGGAGUCAGGCAGGUCCCCACGGCUUUCAGGCCCCAGUUCUCCAGCCCCAGUGCAUGUUGGGAGCAUCCCCACCGCGCGGUGCACUCCGGGAGGCACUGACGCAUUUGGGCGCAGGGCUGGGCGACGAGAGCGGGUGCCCCGGAAACAAGCUCUGUUCAGAAAGCAGGUGGAGGACCUGUGUGAUCCUCUCCCCCGCCCUUCCUCAUCACUAAUCCAAAGUCGGUGUGGGUGGCCGCGGCUCCGAGAGCCUGGACGCCUACCCAAGGCCAGGCCCUGAGACAGGCUCCUCGCCUCGCCCUGGUGGGUUUGACCGCCGCCCUCCUCGCAUCCUUUUCCGUGGGAAACCCCAGGGCAGAGGCUUGGGUUUCACAUGGGUAACAUUCUUCUCCUGGAAUCAGAUCGGUCUUCCAGAGGAUAAGACCUUUCUUUCCUGAGAAGGAGAGCCUGAAGGAGACUCAAGGCCCAAGCCCUCCUUCCCUCAGCCGUAUCUACUGGUAAAUAGGUAGGUAAUUCUUGUCCAACACUUCAGAAGUCCCGCUGUGCACAUUCGAGCACCCCACAGAACGCUGUGAAAAUGAGAGGAAAAACCACAACAGAAGCCAGCAACAAACAACAAGGCCACGGGGGCAAGGCCUAACUAGGUCAGAACAGACAUGUGCCUGAGCUGUCCCGUGAGGUGGACAGGCUCCGGAUGCCCGAGUCGGCAAGAAAGGCUGGAGGGAGCGAUACGGCCGGGUGAGGCCGCUGUCGUUUCGGAGUGGCUUCGCCGCCUGCCUUCCUCGGCGCGGCGUCUAGGCGGGCAGGCAGUAGCCCUGGAGGGGCCAGGCGCUAGGGGCCUUGGGCCUGACCAUCACCCUGGAGGCCUGCGAUUUCAGCCUCUGGGAGGGCUUCCUCGGGGAUUCGAGUUUCUUCUACUUGGCUUUAGUUCCUGUGCCAGCCAUAGCCCUUGGUCCUUAGAACUUUUAAUACUAUGGUGUAAUGCUUGGGCAAAUACAUGUAACUGACCACGCACGAGUAUACAGCCCUUUUAAAAGGUAAAAGGAGUGUGUGUGUGUGUGUGUAUGUGUGUGUGUGUGUGUGUCUACCUACGCGCGCGCCUGUGAGAUUCUUCUGGGCUGAGAAUGUUUUCCCUUCCAAAUGAUGGAUAGAAGGCCUUAGAUCCUCUGAAUUUCUUAGGUUAAAUCAAGGACUUAUUUCCUUUUCCUAUGAUUAGUUUCUUUUAACAUGUAUUAAUAAUUAUAUCAUUAAUUUUGGCCACCCUCAUAGAAGUUUAAUGCCAAUAUAUAAGAGAAUGCAAAAGGGAAAAUAUUUGUAUGCCAAGUUUAGUCUGGAAAAAUAUCAGUAGCAUUUCUUAUUUGACAAAGACAUGCACUUAAAUUUUUUUUUUCCCAGUUGGCAAGGGUAUUGUUUUUAAAUGUAUAUUCCAUGAUUAUUGUUUCUGUUUGGUACUUUGGUCAUUUGGAACACAUCUGUUUCUGAUAUUGUUCCUGUGUUAAGCACACACUGUUGUGUUAGCAAGAUUUUACACCAUCUAAGAAAAUUCUUGCCAGUGCUAUUUGAUGCCCUGUUGAACUUUAGCCAAACUUCAUUUUAUAAUGUUCUCUCAGUCCUGAGCAUAUAUAAUAUAUUUUAAUGAAAUUACGCUUCUGUAUUGACUGGCAGACAUCAGAAACACAUUCACAUAGGUCAAAAGCAGUUGAGCUAAGUGUUGGGUGGGAGGAACUAUUAAAACAGUACAGGAAAAAUAUUUGGAAACAAAACAAAACUUUAAAAUAAAAUAACCCAAAUAAACAAUUCUCUCUCUCUCUCUCUCUCUCACACACACACACACACACACGCACACAGAACUUGGAUGUGGCUAUUGGGAGUUAAUGUAUAAUUCUGAUAAUUUGUGUAUUUCUUCAUUAUAUUAAACUUGGAAUUUAUAUUUUUGACAUUAUUCCAAAGGUGUAAUAAUUGACUUUUAAAAUAGAAUAACAUUGUAAUGGGAUCAUAUUAAGCAUAUAUUAAAUGUAACACAAAUAAGCACUGAGUCUACCUAAAGUGGUAUUUUUUUUUAAUUUUGUGGCUACUCAGGGGUUUUGCAUUAUAUUAUCAAAAGCUAACAACCUUAAGGCCAUUUGUGGUAAUUCAAAAAAUGUUCAAGCAUCUAUGCUUGAUGGCUAAGCUUAUAUCUAACAGUGGAAUAACUGCAAGGCAGGAAUUGGCUUGAAAAAGCAAAUAUUGGCUGUGUAUUUCAAAUAUCUUUUCUAGAAUGGAACACUUUGGUUGAUAGAUUGACCUAUUUUGUUUACAUCCAAUAUGUGUACCCCAGUAUAAAACUUAAAAAAUGGCAAUUUCUCAUGAUAUUUUAGUUAUAAGUCUAGAAAUAUCAACCUUGACAUUUGGUUUAAUAAGCUUCUGCCACUUAUUCCUAGAUCAGUAUUUUUCAAUUGACAAAUAAGUUUUCUUUGCGAUCUACCAAAACCAGGUUGUCACAUUCUUUUAGUUGUUACCUGGACAGACUGCUUUUAUUGCUCAUUAAUCAGAUGCUGUGGUUAAGGUGUGUCUAUUAAAUAACUACUUAGGGAUGUAUCGUCAUUCUGUUUGUUUAUUUAAGAAAACAAAUUUUUGUUUUGGUGUAAUUUCUAAAUAAAAUAUAUUCAUGGUAAUGUGGAUAAUUGACAUUAUUUAUACAAAUCAUUUGGAAUUGAGUACCUUGUUAACUGUGUAAUAAGUAUGGUUAUAAAAAGAGAAUGAGUAUCAUAACAUUUUUGCCUAUAUACACUUUUAAAUAUUUAUCAGGAUCUACAUUUUUCUUAAACUGUUAAUUUGGAUGUGUUGAAAUGUAGCCUAUAAAUUUCUUUUUAAGUAAUUGUUACUAAAAAACCUUAUGGAUCUUCACAUGUCUGGUUCCAAUUAAUCUGCUUAGACUAAUGGAUAAAAUAAUAAACCUGAUUUAGUCAAUCUGGACUUCUAUAUGAGUUUUCUAUGUGCCUCUUUAAGGUCUAAUGCCUUCUCCUACACAUAUUUAGUUCUUAGUUAUACUCUUAUAAAACGUGGGAUUGGAAGAAUAAUUAAUUUGAUUCAUUUUCUUAAAAAAAUUUUGCAGUUACAUCAGUACAAAAAGGCAUCUUCAAAUGAGUGUCAAUGAUUAUCAAAAGAAAACUAUAUACAUCUUUGUGAAUUUAAUUAAUCAAGUAUGUAUUGAGCACCUACUAUGUACCAGGAACUGGGGAUACAAAGAAUAAGACAUGGGUGGUCCUUGUUCUCAGAAAAUUCUCAAUCUUUUAAGGAGACUGACAAAAAUACAACUAGCUCAUCCCUGUAAUUCUUUAAUGAUUUUUAUCUACCCCCUGGACUUUGAAUUAGUAAAGUAUCAGAUGAUCCCAAUACUUUGUGUAUGUUUUAAAAAUCUUAAAGGCAU